GUGCCAGCAGCCGCGGUAAGACGAACCGAGCGAACGUUGUUCGGAAUCACUGGGCUUAAAGGGCGCGUAGGCGGACCGUCAAGUCCGGGGUGAAAUCUUUCGGCUCAACCGGAAAAGUGCCUCGGAUACUGGCGGUCUCGAGCGAGGUAGGGGCAGGCGGAACUUCCGGUGGAGCGGUGAAAUGCGUUGAUAUCGGAAGGAACUCCGGUGGCGAAGGCGGCCUGCUGGACCUCUCCUGACGCUGAGGCGCGAAAGCUAGGGGAGCAAACGGGAUUAGAAACCCCCGUAGUCC
Molecule: ribosomal RNA, 292 nt
Filed under: uncultured bacterium
Lineage: Bacteria
Description: partial 16S ribosomal RNA
Rfam family: Bacterial small subunit ribosomal RNA
Source: RNAcentral